UAAAGCGCGCGCAGGCGGUUUCUUAAGUCUGAUGUGAAAGCCCCCGGCUCAACCGGGGAGGGUCAUUGGAAACUGGGGAACUUGAGUGCAGAAGAGGAGAGUGGAAUUCCACGUGUAGCGGUGAAAUGCGUAGAGAUGUGGAGGAACACCAGUGGCGAAGGCGACUCUCUGGUCUGUAACUGACGCUGAGGCGCGAAAGCGUGGGGAGCGAACAGGAUUAGAUACCCUGGUAGUCCACGCCGUAAACGAUGAGUGCUAAGUGUUAGAGGGUUUCCGCCCUUUAGUGCUGCAGCAAACGCAUUAAGCACUCCGCCUGGGG
RNAcentral lists this ribosomal RNA (319 nucleotides) under Bacillus licheniformis. RNAcentral's name for it is "bacterial SSU rRNA". It matches the Rfam family "Bacterial small subunit ribosomal RNA", at positions 561 to 878 of the family's 1533-position model. The record is from RNAcentral. Lineage: Bacteria; Bacillati; Bacillota; Bacilli; Caryophanales; Bacillaceae.